CGAUCGAUGCAGAGGCCGGAGCACUACUACAAAACGUUCAUCAGUAACGGUCAAAAAAAUGCAUCAGUAACGGGCGUCCUGACCGUCACUAACUUCCUGCCAGUGAUCAUAGGCAUCAUCACUAAUGGUCGUUCCACUUCCAUCAUCAGUGGCGGUUGAAUCCCCAAGACCGUCACUGAUAUACAUUUCACGAUUUAAAAAAAAAUACGGCCACAAGCCGGCAUAUUUUGAUCGUGGUUGAAUAUAAAAAUACCACAUCACAUAAUAAGCACCCCAAAUCACGGAUUACAACAGGACAAGUCGCAAAAAAUUAACGGAAAAAAAAUCCAAAGCUCUCCAUCGCCCGCAUCGCCCUCCAUGGCAGCAACGGCUCCUUGGUCGAGGUCGUGGAACGCCGGAUCCGCGCGGUCGAGGCGGGGGAAGGCCGGCUCCGGCGAUAUUGAAGCCAGGGAAGCUCGCCGUCAUAGGAGGUCGCCGUCGUUGUGUGCAUCUCCAUACCGUUCCUGGAACAAACACAGUAGAGAGAAAUCAGAGGGGAAUCGCGCACGCCGCAAUAGAGAGAAGGAAAGAGAAGGAAAGAGACUUACCGUCGUCAUAGAGGGAGGCCGGAUCUCGGCAGGGCUUGGCGCUGCGCAGGAUGGCUGGGUGCCGCGGCAGAGAGAGGGGAGAGCACGCACGCCGGCGGCGGUGGCAGGGUCGUGGGAUCUCGACGAGGCUGGCGGCGAGAGAGAGAGAGAGAGAGAGAGAGAAGAGAAGCGAGCAGGAGAGGAAAGAUCCGGGGGGGAGGAGAGAUCGAUCGGGGGGGAGAGGAGAGGAGAUCGGGAAGAGGAGAGAGCAGAGGGAAGAGGAGAGAUCGGGGGGGAGAGGAGAGAUCGGGUUGGGGAGAUGGGUGGCAGCGGCUGGGAGCGAGG
RNAcentral lists this long non-coding RNA (911 nucleotides) under Brachypodium distachyon (stiff brome). Its description in RNAcentral is "long non-coding RNA (BDIS_LNC004744)". Lineage: Eukaryota; Viridiplantae; Streptophyta; Magnoliopsida; Poales; Poaceae. The record is from RNAcentral.